UACAGAGGGGGCAAGCGUUGCUCGGAAUUACUGGGCGUAAAGGGCGCGUAGGUGGCCUUCUAAGUUGAACGUGAAAUCCCUGGGCUCAACCCAGGAACUGCGUCCAAGACUGGGAGGCUUGAAUCCGGGAGAGGGAUGCGGAAUUCCAGGUGUAGCGGUGAAAUGCGUAGAUAUCUGGAGGAACACCGGUGGCGAAGGCGGCAUCCUGGACCGGUAUUGACACUGAGGCGCGAAAGCCAGGGGAGCAAACGGG
Molecule: ribosomal RNA, 253 nt
Filed under: uncultured bacterium
Lineage: Bacteria
Description: partial 16S ribosomal RNA
Rfam family: Bacterial small subunit ribosomal RNA
Source: RNAcentral